This 315-nucleotide ribosomal RNA is filed under the name uncultured eukaryote. RNAcentral describes it as "partial 18S ribosomal RNA". It matches the Rfam family "Eukaryotic small subunit ribosomal RNA", at positions 1470 to 1796 of the family's 1831-position model. The record is from RNAcentral.
CCCUUAGAUGUUCUGGGCCGCACGCGCGCUACACUGAUCGGUGCAACAAGCAUCCGUCCUUGGCCGACAGGCCCGGGCAAUCUUUGAACGCCGGUCGUGAUGGGGAUAGACCUUUGCAAUUUUUGGUCUUCAACGAGGAAUUCCUAGUAAACGCAAGUCAUCAACUUGCAUUGAUUACGUCCCUGCCCUUUGUACACACCGCCCGUCGCACCUACCGAUUGAAUGGUCCGGUGAAACCUCCGGAUUGGCGCGCACCUCGGUGCCGCCGAGAAGUUGGCUAAACCUUACCAUUUAGAGGAAGGUGAAGUCGUAACA